AACCCCGUCCGGGGGACUAAAGGGGUGUCGGGCCUGCCUUUUUCUGGUGGGCCGGUAGCUCAGCCUGGUAUGAGCGCCGCCCUUGCAAGGCGGAGGCCCCGGGUUCAAAUCCCGGCCGGUCCACCACGAAGAGAUGCACGUCCCGAGCAAACGCUCGGGGCGGAAGGGCCCAAGGCCCCCUAAUAGGGG
This 189-nucleotide transfer RNA is filed under the name Thermococcus chitonophagus. RNAcentral's name for it is "16S-23S ribosomal RNA intergenic spacer". The stretch from base 49 to 123 matches the Rfam family "tRNA". Lineage: Archaea; Methanobacteriati; Methanobacteriota; Thermococci; Thermococcales; Thermococcaceae. RNAcentral also lists the same sequence under 1 other name. The record is from RNAcentral.